CGAUCUUCGGCCUUCCACUUCGGUAAGUUACCUUCAGAUUCAUUUUGUUUAUAAUGUUUUUUUUUCAGACUCGGAUAUAGAUUACGUGUCACAUGACACCAAUCUUGACUCCGAUGAGCCACUGUCUGCAUUCGCUCAGCGGUUAUGGCAACCGAACUCUGCGAAGAGUUCGGUCCUGGGGUUAAUGUUCCUGACCUGGGACGCUUCUUCCUCGUCCGCGAAAAUCUAUCACUGCUUCGGCACUGCCCCGGAUGACGUCAUCGUCCGGGGCACAAACAGUUAAACGCAUGGGUUGAGACUGCAGCGGCGGAAGUUAACGCACUGUUUGUGGUGCUUCUCCUCAUGUCGCUGUAUUCGAAGGCCAAGCAUGACUUCUGGGCGUGAGACUCCCUCGCCACAUCAAGUGGAUUACUAAUGGCCUUUAUAAACUUAUUGAGACGGCGGUCGUCAAUUCCUUCCUGGUGCACAAAGCACUGGGAGGGACGAAGGGGCUCGUUCGCGAGAUCCUGCCGGAUUUCCACCAGUUCACGAGGGUGGAAAGUACCGUUUGUGGGCCAUACCUGGGAGAGGGCCGUCUACAUGGUGGACAUCAUGUGCAUACGCAUGUGCUAGCACCUGGCCCAUGUUAUCGGUGUUGUAAAGUCUGCUACGCCUGAGGUGUGCGUAAAGAGACUCGCACAAUGUGCGGCCAUUGUAAAGUGACCUUGUGCCAGUACAAUUGUUUUUAGGCCUACCAUACGCUUGAAAACAGUGCAUGGUGUACAUACAUAAUAAAAUAGAUAUAAUAAUAAUAAAA
Molecule: long non-coding RNA, 796 nt
Organism: Penaeus indicus
Lineage: Eukaryota; Metazoa; Arthropoda; Malacostraca; Decapoda; Penaeidae
Exons: 2
Source: RefSeq, a predicted model, not a curated record